AUGCCAGCAUUAAGAUUUAAAAUGUGUCGUCUACUUCCAGGAAAUGUUCAGAACAGAGAACUUUCUCUAAUCCAAUGCUGUAUUCUACGAAGAUUGAGGAACAAGAGGAGAUCCAUUAAAAGAAAUCUUUCUCGGAGAGAAAAUCUAAACAGUAACAUCAAAUCACAAACUACAAGAAAGUUGUCUCUUUAUUAUGGGGAUUUACCCAUAAGGGAGAUGCACGGAGGAAGAGAACGAACUUCAUAUAUCCAUUUUUUACUCAAUCAAGAAACUAGAUCGGACGUGAUUCCGGUUCGUCUCCAUUUUAGUGACACUCUUCCUCAAGCAAGGCAGCCGAUAAUUCAUCGAAGGGUUUGUUUGAAUAAUGGACUGGUAACCAUUACUCAUUUGAAAGUUUCCCACGGUGAUCUAAUAUCUUUUAAAGAAAAUGAAGUGAGAACCCGUGGUUUUGAAAUAAGGAGAUCUUUCUAUAUCGACAUAUUAGUUGGAAAAAUCAUAGGCAAAUUCCUAUCGGCCAUAUCAGUUGGAAAAAGAAGAGGCAAAUUCCUACCGGCCAGAAUCUGGAGAAGAACAAAAAAAGAAUGGUUCCGCUUACUCACAACUCAGAGGGGAUGCCGCUUACUACUCAAAUCCAAGGAAUUGCAAAAGUUGCGUUUUUAUAUGCAAGAAGAAUACUUUGAAAGAACAAAGAAGUUAGGAUCCACAAAAGUAUGCUUAGGCAGUUCCUUCGCUGAGCACAACAGAAUGAAGAGGAAGUUGUUUCAUUUCAAAUACUUCUUCUUAUUGAAAAGAGGGAAGGAGAAAAACCGAAAUCUUCCUACUCGAACAAUAAGUCCUUUUGUAGAAAUGUCUUCUUUAUAUAGUAAUUCGACCUAUUGCUCUGGAUCCCCGUUUACUAGGAAGAUAAGAAUCAAAAGGAUCGAACUACCUACUCAUUAUUCGGAGGUGAAUAAUAGAACACUAAAAGUUGUGGUAUCUUAUGGACCUAACAUAGGUCACAUCCCUCACGACAUAAGACUUAAAGAUCCAAACCCUUCCUCUUCGGAGCGAAAACGGACGUGGCCAAAACAU
RNAcentral lists this ribosomal RNA (1071 nucleotides) under Triticum aestivum (bread wheat). RNAcentral describes it as "partial small subunit ribosomal RNA". Lineage: Eukaryota; Viridiplantae; Streptophyta; Magnoliopsida; Poales; Poaceae. The record is from RNAcentral.